GACGAACGCUGGCGGCGCGCCUAACACAUGCAAGUCGAACGGAGAUAAGGAGGAGCUUGCUCCACCUUAUCUGAGUGGCGGACGGGUGAGUAACGCGUGAGUAACCUGCCUUAAAGAGGGGGAUAACGUCUGGAAACGGACGCUAAUACCGCAUAAGCGCACAGCAUCGCAUGAUGCAGUGUGAAAACUCCGGUGGUAUGAGAUGGACCCGCGUCUGAUUAGCUAGUUGGUGGGGUAACGGCUCACUAAGGCGACGAUCAGUAGCCGACCUGAGAGGGUGACCGGCCACAUUGGGACUGAGACACGGCCCAA
This 312-nucleotide ribosomal RNA is filed under the name uncultured bacterium. Its description in RNAcentral is "bacterial SSU rRNA". It matches the Rfam family "Bacterial small subunit ribosomal RNA", at positions 28 to 334 of the family's 1533-position model. The record is from RNAcentral.